CUGCAAAGACUGCAUUAGAUGCGGUGUGCAUGAUGUCGUUUCUUCGCAGCAGGACUGGGCCGUGACCUGUCACAUCACAAUCCCGCUGCCCUGAAGGAUGAGGACGACCCAGCCCAGCCUCCUCUGUCCGCUCCGCUUUCCCCGUAAGACUUCCUGAGCCAGACGGCCUGAGUUCCAACCACCUCCCUCUGGCCUGCAGGGGGGCCGCCUCAGGCUGUCGCCCUCCCUCUCUGCACCUGCGACAGACCACCCUCCCCAGGCAGGACAGCGUGAGAAAGAGGGAACGGGGGCCAUGUGGCCAGCAGCAGCGCCGAGAGCACGUUCUCUGCAAACCCUUCCCCGACCAUCCCAGGAUCCCAGUGGAGGCUGGAUCCCUCGGGAGAGUGAGGCCCAGGCUUGCGUCCACAGGCCCUGGGAAUGACAGGGCACACUCUUGCCUUCCUGGAGAGCCUGACUUGGAACAGAGGAGACGGACAGACAGCCCUGAGAGUCAGGGCCCUCAUAGCUUCUUCUCUGCUUCUAAUUUGCUGUGUGACCUGGGGCUGGUCACUGCCCAUCUCUGGGCCUCCCUUUUCUCCUCUGAGGAGGGAGCUGGUCUGGCUCCACUGUUUGCCAGCUAUCUGUCCUUGGGCAAGCUAUUUAACCUCCUUGUGCCUGUUUCCUCA
RNAcentral lists this long non-coding RNA (665 nucleotides) under Equus caballus (horse). RNAcentral's name for it is "lncRNA (ENSECAG00000044471.1)". The record is from RNAcentral. Lineage: Eukaryota; Metazoa; Chordata; Mammalia; Perissodactyla; Equidae.